GGCACCGGCUGAAAGAAAAACAAGGGGUCCGACGAGAAGCUUUAAGAAACCGGACGGUCCCAUGGUCUUGGAUUAUGACAACAAAGGCCAACCUGGGCCCAAAUGGCGUCAACAAUAUGCUAAUAAAGUUGGCUUAUGUUCGCGGAAAAUCCCCAUUACACUUGUAAUGCGGCAAGUACCUUCGGGUUUGAUUCAAGCAUUUUGGGAUGAUACAAGGAGGCAGUUUUCUAUUCCUAAUGAUCCCGAGAAGAAAAGGGUGUUUGUCUCUUUAUUAGGGGAAAGAUUCAGAGGCUUUAAGACCAAGUUGACUAAUCGGUGGAUCCAUAAGAAGAAGAAGGUGCAAACAAAGAAGAAGAAUGCCAAAGAGGAAAACCAUCUCCCGUGGCAAAUAUGGCCGACCGUGUCAAAAGAUUAUUGGGAAGAGUUCGUUAGAAUGAAGAGUCAAAAGAAAGCCAUUGAACUUCGAGAGCAAAAUCAAGCGAAUGCAGAAAAGAAGGAAUACGUCCAUCGUAUGGGUCCUAGACUUUUGCUGAAAAGAGACCUGAGUGGGCCGCUUCGGGUUUAUACCCUAAAGCGGUUCUAGUGGCAUCGAAGGAACUCUCUAGUUCCACGAUCACUACAUUGGUGAGUCGUGCCGGUGAUUUCUUUUGUUCUCUCCAUUCGUUUGAUAAGAAAACCGGAAAAUGGUUCAUCAAGGGUCCGGAAGCCAAAAAACUGGCGGAUAAGCUACUUGAGCACACUCAAGAGAUGGUGGAGGGCAAAUUUGAACCAAGUGUGGAGAAUGACCUUUUCACCAUGGCUUUGGGAAGGCCAUAC
Molecule: RNA transcript, 816 nt
Organism: Chenopodium quinoa (quinoa)
Lineage: Eukaryota; Viridiplantae; Streptophyta; Magnoliopsida; Caryophyllales; Amaranthaceae
Exons: 4
Source: RefSeq, a predicted model, not a curated record